UCCCGUGUAGCUCAGUUGGUAGAGCAUGGUGCUUGUUACGCCAGGGUUGUGGGUUUGAUUACCACGGGGG
Salmo salar (Atlantic salmon) is the source of this 70-nucleotide non-coding RNA. Lineage: Eukaryota; Metazoa; Chordata; Actinopteri; Salmoniformes; Salmonidae. The record is from Rfam.